This 253-nucleotide ribosomal RNA is filed under the name uncultured bacterium. Its description in RNAcentral is "partial 16S ribosomal RNA". It matches the Rfam family "Bacterial small subunit ribosomal RNA", at positions 524 to 776 of the family's 1533-position model. The record is from RNAcentral.
UACGUAGGGUGCAAGCGUUGUCCGGAAUUAUUGGGCGUAAAGAGCUCGUAGGCGGUCUGUCGCGUCUGGUGUGAAAAUCCAGGGCUUAACCCUGGACCUGCAUCGGGUACGGGCAGACUAGAGUGCGGUAGGGGAGAUCGGAAUUCCUGGUGUAGCGGUGAAAUGCGCAGAUAUCAGGAGGAACACCGGUGGCGAAGGCGGAUCUCUGGGCCGAAACUGACGCUGAGGAGCGAAAGCGUGAGGAGCAAACAGG